Molecule: ribosomal RNA, 253 nt
Filed under: uncultured bacterium
Lineage: Bacteria
Description: partial 16S ribosomal RNA
Rfam family: Bacterial small subunit ribosomal RNA
Source: RNAcentral
UACGUAGGGGGCAAGCGUUGUCCGGAAUUAUUGGGCGUAAAGAGCGCGUAGGCGGUCCGAUAAGUCGGCUGUGAAAGUCCAGGGCUCAACCCUGGAAAGCCGGCCGAUACUGUCGGACUAGAGUCCGGAAGAGGCGAGUGGAAUUCUCGGUGUAGCAGUGAAAUGCGUAGAUAUCGAGAGGAACACCAGUGGCGAAGGCGAGUCCCUGGACAACUCCUGACGCUGAGGCACGAAAGCUAGGGGAGCAAACAGG